Molecule: ribosomal RNA, 408 nt
Filed under: uncultured bacterium
Lineage: Bacteria
Description: partial 16S ribosomal RNA
Rfam family: Bacterial small subunit ribosomal RNA
Source: RNAcentral
GACGAACGCUGUCGGCGUGCUUAACACAUGCAAGUCGAACGAAGUGGCGAACGGGUGAGUAACGCGUAAUCAACCUGCCCUUCAGAGGGGGACAACAGUUGUAAACGACUGCUAAUACCGCAUACUGAAGGAGGGGAAUGCGUCUGAUUAGAUAGUUGGAGGGGUAACGGCCCACCAAGGCGAUGAUCAGUAGCCGGGCUGAGAGGAUGAGCGGCCAAAUUGGGACUGUGACACGGCCCAGACUCCUACGGGAGGCAGCAGUGGGGAAUCUUCCGAAAUGGACGAAAGUCUGACGGAGCAACGCCGCGUGAGUGAUGACGGCGUUCGGGUUGUAAAGCUCUGUUAAUCGGGACGCGGCACCGGAAUAGAAAGCCACGGCUAACUACGUGCCAGCAGCCGCGGUAAUUC